This 498-nucleotide ribosomal RNA is filed under the name Pediococcus pentosaceus. Its description in RNAcentral is "bacterial SSU rRNA". It matches the Rfam family "Bacterial small subunit ribosomal RNA", at positions 56 to 511 of the family's 1533-position model. Lineage: Bacteria; Bacillati; Bacillota; Bacilli; Lactobacillales; Lactobacillaceae. The record is from RNAcentral.
UGCAGUCGACGAACUUCCGUUAAUUGAUUAUGACGUACUUGUACUGAUUGAGAUUUUAACACGAAGUGAGUGGCGAACGGGUGAGUAACACGUGGGUAACCUGCCCAGAAGUAGGGGAUAACACCUGGAAACAGAUGCUAAUACCGUAUAACAGAGAAAACCGCAUGGUUUUCUUUUAAAAGAUGGCUCUGCUAUCACUUCUGGAUGGACCCGCGGCGUAUUAGCUAGUUGGUGAGGUAAAGGCUCACCAAGGCAGUGAUACGUAGCCGACCUGAGAGGGUAAUCGGCCACAUUGGGACUGAGACACGGCCCAGACUCCUACGGGAGGCAGCAGUAGGGAAUCUUCCACAAUGGACGCAAGUCUGAUGGAGCAACGCCGCGUGAGUGAAGAAGGGUUUCGGCUCGUAAAGCUCUGUUGUUAAAGAAGAACGUGGGUAAGAGUAACUGUUUACCCAGUGACGGUAUUUAACCAGAAAGCCACGGCUAACUACGUGCCAG